AUACGUAGGGUGCGAGCGUUGUUCGGAUUUAUUGGGCGUAAAGGGUCCGCAGGGGGUCUCUUAAGUCAGUGGUGAAAGCCUGCAGCUCAACUGUAGAGGUGCCAUUGAUACUGACAUGCUUGAGUAUGGACGAGGUAGGCGGAAUUUGUGGUGUAGCGGUGAAAUGCAUAGAUACCACAAAGAACACCGAUAGCGAAGGCAGCUUACUGGACCAUAACUGACACUGAGGCACGAAAGUGUGGGUAGCGAACAGGAUUAGAAACCCCAGUAGUCC
This 274-nucleotide ribosomal RNA is filed under the name uncultured bacterium. RNAcentral's name for it is "partial 16S ribosomal RNA". It matches the Rfam family "Bacterial small subunit ribosomal RNA", at positions 523 to 796 of the family's 1533-position model. The record is from RNAcentral.